UGUAAGCAAUCAUAACUGUUACAUACUGCUGGAUGAAUUUUUUUUCCCACCAGAUACCAUUACUUCUCACUGGAAAUGAAAGAUUUCUGGCACAUGGCAUUCUAAAGGAUCUAUGACCUAAUGUUUGUGUGUCUUACUGCAAUGGUGGAAAUCAGGAGUAAGAGAGUGGAGACCAGCAGAUGACAGCAGAGUGGAAUGGUAGCAAUAAAGGAGACCCAGAACCAUCUGUGCCAAGAGAGCUGAGAGAUGUGGAGCCAAUAAACAGCAAAACAUUGCCAGUUGACCAAGUUGGAGAGGUAUUCCUCUCUAUACAACUCACUUCAGAACAGAAAUCACCUGAGGAGUAGCACCCAUCAUCCCUGCCAUAAAAGUCUAUGGGCAAAUGUGGUACACAAAUGUAAUUGACUACUGUGAUAUAGGGAAAAGACUUACAUGAAAUGAUGUGGAGUGAAGUAAGCAGAGGUUAAGAUAGCCAAUGACUAGAACAAUACGAAUGGAAAGAACUACAGCCACAAAACAAAACAAAAAAUAAUGCUGC
Non-coding RNA from Phascolarctos cinereus (koala), 538 nucleotides. The record is from RefSeq and is a predicted model, not a curated record. Lineage: Eukaryota; Metazoa; Chordata; Mammalia; Diprotodontia; Phascolarctidae.